RNAcentral lists this ribosomal RNA (440 nucleotides) under uncultured bacterium. RNAcentral describes it as "partial 16S ribosomal RNA". It matches the Rfam family "Bacterial small subunit ribosomal RNA", at positions 338 to 795 of the family's 1533-position model. The record is from RNAcentral.
CCUACGGGUGGCAGCAGUAGGGAAUAUUGCUCAAUGGGGGAAACCCUGAAGCAGCAACGCCGCGUGGAGGAUGAAGGUUUUCGGAUGGUAAACUCCUUUUGUUAGAGAAGAUAAUGACGGUAUCUAACGAAUAAGCACCGGCUAACUACGUGCCAGCAGCCGCGGUAAUCCGGAGGGUGAAAGGGUUACGCGGAAUCACUGUGCGUAAAGAGCGCGGAGGAGGGAUAGCAAGUCAGAUGUGAAAUCCUAUGGCUUAACCAUAGAGCUGCAUUUGAAACUGUUAUUCUAGAGUAUGGGAGAGGUGAGUGGAAUUCUUGGUGUAGGGGUAAAAUCCGUAGAGAGCAAGAGGAAUACUCAUUGCGAAGGCGACCUGCUAGAACAUAACUGACGCUGAUGCGCGAAAGCGUGGGGAGCAAACAGGAUUAGAUACCCGAGUAGUC